GGGAGCACGGGAUCCUGGGCUGUGUCCCCCAGCGCCCUGGGAUCUGGGGCCUGUGCUGCUGGAAUCGUGCUCCCAGGGCCGUGGCUCUU
Molecule: microRNA precursor, 89 nt
Filed under: Canis lupus familiaris (dog)
Lineage: Eukaryota; Metazoa; Chordata; Mammalia; Carnivora; Canidae
Also listed under: 1 other name
Description: mir-8799 microRNA precursor family
Rfam family: mir-8799 microRNA precursor family
Source: Rfam by way of RNAcentral